RNAcentral lists this long non-coding RNA (230 nucleotides) under Capsicum annuum. Its description in RNAcentral is "long non-coding RNA (CANN_LNC011780)". Lineage: Eukaryota; Viridiplantae; Streptophyta; Magnoliopsida; Solanales; Solanaceae. The record is from RNAcentral.
UUUAAUUUUUUGUGGCUAUAUGGAUGGACAAACGGGCGAAACAAUGCGAAUGGGGUAUUUUCGGGCCAAAUCGGUGUGUUAUUUCACACGAUUUCAGAGGUGGGCAUGGGGUCUGAACAUGGUGUGGGCCAUAAAUCAACCAAGGCGUGCCAGUAAGGUUGGGGAUCAUCCCAGUGUGGUUCGUUUAAUUUGUUGUGGCUGUUUGGGUGGACAAACAGGCGAAAUGGCAU